Molecule: non-coding RNA, 70 nt
Organism: Myotis brandtii (Brandt's bat)
Lineage: Eukaryota; Metazoa; Chordata; Mammalia; Chiroptera; Vespertilionidae
Source: Rfam
GCCACCAUGGCUCAGUGGUUGAGCAUUGACCUAGAACCAGGAGGUCAGGGUUUGAGUCCCUGUCAGGGCA